This 466-nucleotide ribosomal RNA is filed under the name Escherichia coli. RNAcentral describes it as "partial 23S ribosomal RNA". It matches the Rfam family "Bacterial large subunit ribosomal RNA", at positions 2483 to 2925 of the family's 2925-position model. Lineage: Bacteria; Pseudomonadati; Pseudomonadota; Gammaproteobacteria; Enterobacterales; Enterobacteriaceae. The record is from RNAcentral.
UGAUACCGCCCAAGAGUUCAUAUCGACGGCGGUGUUUGGCACCUCGAUGUCGGCUCAUCUCAUCCUGGGGCUGAAGCAGGUCCCAAGGGUAUGGCUGUUCGCCAUUUAAAGAGGUACGCGAGCUGGGUUUAGAACGUCGUGAGACAGUUCGGUCCCUAUCUACCGUGGGCGCUGGAAAUUUGAGAGGAUCUGCUCCUAGUACGAGAGGACCAGAGUGGACGAACCUCUGGUGUACCGGUUGUGACGCCAGUCGCAUCGCCGGGUAGCUAUGUUCGGAAGGGAUAACCGCUGAAAGCAUCUAAGCGGGAAGCCUACCUCAAGAUAAGAUUUCCCUAGGACUUUAUGUCCUCUAAAGAGCCGUUCGAGACUAGGACGUUGAUAGGUUGGAUGUGGAAGCAUAGUGAUAUGUGAAGCUGACCAAUACUAAUUGCUCGUGAGGCUUGACUAUACAACACCCAAGCAGUUG